UACGAAGGGGGCUAGCGUUGCUCGGAAUCACUGGGCGUAAAGCGCACGUAGGCGGAUUCUUAAGUCAGGGGUGAAAUCCUGGAGCUCAACUCCAGAACUGCCUUUGAUACUGGGAAUCUCGAGUCCGGGAGAGGUGAGUGGAACUGCGAGUGCAGAGGUGAAAUUCGUAGAUAUUCGCAAGAACACCAGUGGCGAAGGCGGCUCACUGGCCCGGUACUGACGCUGAGGUGCGAAAGCGUGGGGAGCAAACAGG
This 253-nucleotide ribosomal RNA is filed under the name uncultured bacterium. Its description in RNAcentral is "partial 16S ribosomal RNA". It matches the Rfam family "Bacterial small subunit ribosomal RNA", at positions 524 to 776 of the family's 1533-position model. The record is from RNAcentral.